UGGGGAAUAUUGGACAAUGGGCGAAAGCCUGAUCCAGCCAUGCCGCGUGUGUGAAGAAGGUCUUCGGAUUGUAAAGCACUUUAAGUUGGGAGGAAGGGCAGUCAGCGAAUACCUUGCUGUCUUGACGUUACCGACAGAAUAAGCACCGGCUAACUCUGUGCCAGCAGCCGCGGUAAUACGGAGGGUGCAAGCGUUAUCCGGAUUCACUGGGUUUAAAGGGUGCGUAGGCGGGUUGGUAAGUCCGUGGUGAAAUCCCCAAGCUUAACUUGGGAACUGCCGUGGAUACUAUCAAUCUUGAAUAUCGUGGAGGUAAGCGGAAUAUGUCAUGUAGCGGUGAAAUGCUUAGAUAUGACAUAGAACACCAAUUGCGUAGGCAGCUUACUACACGAUCAUUGACGCUGAGGCACGAAAGCGUGGGGAGCAAACAGGAUUAGAUACCC
RNAcentral lists this ribosomal RNA (440 nucleotides) under uncultured bacterium. RNAcentral describes it as "bacterial SSU rRNA". It matches the Rfam family "Bacterial small subunit ribosomal RNA", at positions 355 to 787 of the family's 1533-position model. The record is from RNAcentral.